UGGUGUGUGGCCUACUGGUUAGCGCUUCGGACUUGUAACCGGAGGGUUGCCGGUUCGAACCCCGACCAGUAG
This 72-nucleotide transfer RNA is filed under the name Alosa alosa (allis shad). Its description in RNAcentral is "tRNA-OTHER". Lineage: Eukaryota; Metazoa; Chordata; Actinopteri; Clupeiformes; Clupeidae. The record is from RNAcentral.